GACGAACGCUGGCGGCGUGCUUAACACAUGCAAGUCGAACGGAAAGGCCCUGCUUUUGUGGGGUGCUCGAGUGGCGAACGGGUGAGUAACACGUGAGUAACCUGCCCUUGACUUUGGGAUAACUUCAGGAAACUGGGGCUAAUACCGGAUAGGAGCUCCUGCUGCAUGGUGGGGGUUGGAAAGUUUCGGCGGUUGGGGAUGGACUCGCGGCUUAUCAGCUUGUUGGUGGGGUAGUGGCUUACCAAGGCUUUGACGGGUAGCCGGCCUGAGAGGGUGACCGGCCACAUUGGGACUGAUAUACGGCCCAGACUCCUACGGGAGGCAGCAGUGGGGAAUAUUGCACAAUGGGCGGAAGCCUGAUGCAGCAACCCCGCGUGCGGGAUGACGGCCUUCGGGUUGUAACCCGCUUUCGCCUGUGACGAAGCGUGAGUGACGGUAAUGGGUAAAGAAGCACCGGCUAACUACGUG
Molecule: ribosomal RNA, 468 nt
Filed under: uncultured bacterium
Lineage: Bacteria
Description: partial 16S ribosomal RNA
Rfam family: Bacterial small subunit ribosomal RNA
Source: RNAcentral